GAAUCCUAAAUAAAUCUUGAUAAAUUCUAAUCAAAUCUUAAUCAAAUCCUAAAUAAAUCCUAAAUAAAUUCUAAUCAAAUUAAAUCAAACUUUAAAUUAAUCCUAAUAAAAACUUAAAUCCUAAUCAAAUACUAAUCAAAUUCUAAACUAAUCUUAAUAAAAUCCUAAAAACAUCCUAAAAAAAUCCUAAAAACAUCCUAAAAACAUCCUAAAAACAUCCUUAAAAAAUCUUUAAAAAUUCAAACUAAAUCUUAAUCAAUCUUUAUAGUAGUUUUAAAAUCUCAAUAAAUACUAAUUAAAUCAUUGAUUUUAAUUCAAAUUUUAUCCAUAUUUCAAUUCACAAGGAGUUAACAAGCAUACAAAAUUUAAAAAUAAUCAAACUCAUCAAUAAAAAGAAAUAGCUUCUAAAUCUUUUAGAAGUUGGUUGAUUUCCUUCUCUAACAUGGAUAUUGAUCUUUUAACAACAAUUUCUCCUUGUUGAACCAUUUAAUUACUUCAUAAUUUGGCUGAUAUAUAGAUUUUAAAGUAUAAAUUGCUAUCACCAAUUUUUGCUUCAAUUAAACUACUGGAUUUUUCAGGAUUAUAAAAAGCUUUACUAAUCCUAAAUUUUUAAAAUCCGAAAUCUCAAUCCAAUUAAAAUAUCAUAUCCUUUGAUC
RNAcentral lists this long non-coding RNA (656 nucleotides) under Physcomitrium patens. RNAcentral describes it as "long non-coding RNA (PPAT_LNC013487)". Lineage: Eukaryota; Viridiplantae; Streptophyta; Bryopsida; Funariales; Funariaceae. The record is from RNAcentral.